UUUGUAGCUUUGCCAUUUGUUUUAUUGCUACUACCAUCAUCAAUCAGCCGAGAGAACUUUUUUAAGUGGCAACUAUGGAAUUUUAUGAAGCACAGCUAUUAUUAUUUUUACUCAAUUAGAGGCUCAACGCAGCGCUACCCGCACAACAUAACAUAACAUAACAUACCCAUACCAUACGCUGGUUGGUCCCUCGGAGCAAUAAAGAGAGAUCAUCGAUGAGUACGACUCCUUAACUGAAACCCGUGCCCUUCUCGUGACUGACCCAUCUUCUGUUUCUUUCAUCUCCCUCAGAUUUCAGACAAAGCUUCUCAACUGUUCUUCUUCAUCUAACCUUCUAUAAUUCAUCAGUCUUUGAUAUAUGCCUUUUUCUCCAGUAUGGGACCAUGGUGGUGGGAUGGGAGGGCUUCCGCGUUUUCAAGUGACUCAUCAUCAGUUGUACAAUAAUGCAUAUUAAUACAUGGGAAAUACCGCACUAUAUACGACGUGGCAUCUUCGGCUUGGACCUGGUUGCUGCAAAUUUGCUGAUUAGCCAUUGCAGCACCAUCUCAUUCGCAAUUCACAAGUCAUCAUCUGAUCUGGUUGGUAGAAGAGCAAGUGCUGAUUAGGAUCAAUUAAAUUAGGGAUCGGAUCAUCGUCUGUAAUGUCACGCUGGAUAGCAUACCACAAAAAAGCUAUAUAUUCUACAAAUUGUACAUGGACUUGUUAGGCAAUCAAACAGCCCACGAUAGCUGCACUACUAUAUGUUAAGUAUUGAGGCAGCCCAAAAAAAACGACUUAAAUCAGACAAAACCACUUGAGAUUUAUUUAAUGAAAAUCUUCUGAUUGAUCAUUUGCUUCA
Molecule: non-coding RNA, 838 nt
Organism: Coffea arabica (coffee)
Lineage: Eukaryota; Viridiplantae; Streptophyta; Magnoliopsida; Gentianales; Rubiaceae
Source: RefSeq, a predicted model, not a curated record